Molecule: unclassified non-coding RNA, 306 nt
Filed under: plant metagenome
Description: partial contains 5.8S ribosomal RNA, internal transcribed spacer 2, and large subunit ribosomal RNA
Rfam family: 5.8S ribosomal RNA (bases 1-105)
Source: RNAcentral
GAAAUGCGAUAAGUAAUGUGAAUUGCAGAAUUCAGUGAAUCAUCGAAUCUUUGAACGCACAUUGCGCCCGCCAGUAUUCUGGCGGGGAUGCCUGUCCGAGCGUCAUUUCAACCAUCAAGCCCCCGGGCUUGUGUUGGGGACCUGCGGCUGCCCGCAGGCCCUGAAAACCAGUGGCGGGCUCGCUGUCACACCGAGCGUAGUAGCAAUCACCUCGCUCAGGGCGUGCUGCGGGUUCCGGCCGUUAAACAGCCUUACAAAACCCAAGGUUGACCUCGGAUCAGGUAGGAAGACCCGCUGAACUUAAGC